Molecule: ribosomal RNA, 414 nt
Filed under: uncultured microorganism
Description: bacterial SSU rRNA
Rfam family: Archaeal small subunit ribosomal RNA
Source: RNAcentral
CAGCCGCCGCGGUAAUACCGGCGGCCCGAGUGGCGGUCACUUUUUUUGGGCUUAAAGCGUCCGUAGCCGGGUUGGGAAGUCCUCCGGGAAAUCUGGCCGCUUAACGGUCAGAAUGCCGGAGGAUACUCCCAGCCUAGGGAGCGGGAGAGGCCGAGGGUAUUCCCGGAGUAGGGGUGAAAUCCUAUAAUCCCGGGAGGACCACCGGUGGCGAAGGCGCUCGGCUGGAACGCGUCCGACGGUGAGGGACGAAGGCCAGGGGAGCAAACCGGAUUAGAUACCCGGGUAGUCCUGGCGGUAAACGAUGCGGACUUUGUGUCGGACAAGCUAUGAGCUUGUCCGGUGCCGGAGGGAAACCGUUAAGUCCGCCGCCUGGGGAGUACGGCCGCAAGGCUGAAACUUAAAGGAAUUGGCGGG